RNAcentral lists this transfer RNA (58 nucleotides) under Salmo salar (Atlantic salmon). It matches the Rfam family "tRNA", at positions 8 to 63 of the family's 71-position model. From Rfam's summary of the family: Transfer RNA (tRNA) molecules are approximately 80 nucleotides in length. Their secondary structure includes four short double-helical elements and three loops (D, anti-codon, and T loops). The record is from Rfam by way of RNAcentral. Lineage: Eukaryota; Metazoa; Chordata; Actinopteri; Salmoniformes; Salmonidae.
UAACUCAGUUGGUAGAGCAUGGUGUUUGCAACGCCAGGGUUGUGGGUUCUAUUCCCAC